This 353-nucleotide long non-coding RNA is filed under the name Nicotiana benthamiana. RNAcentral describes it as "long non-coding RNA (NBEN_LNC004850)". The record is from RNAcentral. Lineage: Eukaryota; Viridiplantae; Streptophyta; Magnoliopsida; Solanales; Solanaceae.
ACCAGGAUUUUCUGAUAUCCCUAAUCACAAGGCAGUUCUUGAAACAAGCCUUCGUCAGCAUGCCACGCUUUCAGAAGGCAAUAUACUGACUGUUAAUCAUGGUGUUCUGACGUACCAUUUACGUGUUCUUGAACUGAAACCUUCCUCGAGUGUAUCUGUUUUUGAAACGGAUAUAGAAGUUGAUAUAAUGGGCGCAGAACGGACAGCUGAGAGGACAAAUCAGCCUUCUUCUAGUGUAUCUGUUUUGGAAACGGAUAUAGAAGUUGAUGUAAUGGGCGCAGAACGGACAGCUGAGGGCACAAAUCAGUGUGUAUUGCAACCUCUCAUAUAUGGGGAGGUAGAUGCUGGGGUGG